AUUAUGUCCUGCCUGCCCAGUGAACUUCUUUAACGGCCGCGGUAUCAUAACCGUGCAAAGGUAGCGUAAUCACUUGUCUCCUAAAUAGAGACCCGUAUGAAAGGCUAAAUGAGGACGCACCUGUCUCCUUGGACCAGUCAAUGAAACUGAUCUGCCAGUACAAAAGCUGACAUACACACAUAAGACGAGAAGACCCUGUGGAGCUUUUAAACCCAAACACUACCCAACCACACCCAAUCAUCUAAGGACACCACAUGGCCCCACUCACGAUAGUGCCAAUUUUAAGUUGGGGCGACUACGGAAUAUAACAAAACUUCCACGACACAGGCUAAAACCCACCCACGACAGACAAGUCAACGGAAAAUACAAUUGACCCAGUAUACUGACUAACGAACCAAGUUACCCCAGGGAUAACAGCGCUAUCCCCUUCAAGAGUCCAUAUCGCCAAGGGGGCUUACGACCUCGAUGUUGGAUCAGGACACCCAGGCGGUGCAGCCGCUGCCAAAGGUUCGUUUGUUCAACGAUUAAAGUCCUACGUGAUC
RNAcentral lists this ribosomal RNA (542 nucleotides) under Gekko japonicus. RNAcentral's name for it is "partial large subunit ribosomal RNA". It matches the Rfam family "Bacterial large subunit ribosomal RNA", at positions 1847 to 2605 of the family's 2925-position model. Lineage: Eukaryota; Metazoa; Chordata; Lepidosauria; Squamata; Gekkonidae. The record is from RNAcentral.